Long non-coding RNA from Ruditapes philippinarum (Manila clam), 414 nucleotides. RefSeq lists it as uncharacterized. The record is from RefSeq and is a predicted model, not a curated record. Lineage: Eukaryota; Metazoa; Mollusca; Bivalvia; Venerida; Veneridae. The transcript has 3 exons.
GGGAGAAUACUCGUAAGGCAACUCGGCAACUUACCAAGAGUUUCAUUAGAGUUAUAUAUCUUGAGUGAGUAAGGCCGACCGAGGGCGCUGUAAAGAAAUAAUAAAGAAAUUUUUGUGACAUAACGCGGUUGUGUGAUGAUGUAUACACAGUGCUAGUGAGAAUGAGCAGCAUAUGUUUUGUGUAAACUGAUUUGUGUUUUGGAUUAUAUACUGUGAAAAAAAAAUUGGAAUAUACUGGUAUAUAGAAAUCACAGUCUGGUGGUGAAGAAAGAUGCAAGAUGGAAAAUGGAGGAGGGGAGAAUGACCCUGUGUCACAGUUGUUCGACCAGUUCUGUCAGCCUCAACAUGUCGUGCCAUCAUCUCAUCAUUUCAGCAGCUCUGUGACGCCGUCGGUCUCAGCCACGCAGAUCAUCG